GACGAACGCUGGCGGCGUGCUUAACACAUGCAAGUCGAACGGAAAGGCCCUGCUUUUGUGGGGUGCUCGAGUGGCGAACGGGUGAGUAACACGUGAGUAACCUGCCCUUGACUUUGGGAUAACUUCAGGAAACUGGGGCUAAUACCGGAUAGGAGCUCCUGCUGCAUGGUGGGGGUUGGAAAGUUUCGGCGGUUGGGGAUGGACUCGCGGCUUAUCAGCUUGUUGGUGGGGUAGUGGCUUACCAAGGCUUUGACAGGUAGCCGGCCUGAGAGGGUGACCGGCCACAUUGGGACUGAGAUACGGCCCAGACUCCUACGGGAGGCGGCAGUGGGGAAUAUUGCACAAUGGGCGGAAGCCUGAUGCAGCAACGCCGCGUGCGGGAUGACGGCCUUCGGGUUGUAAACCGCUUUCGCCUGUGACGAAGCGUGAGUGACGGUAAUGGGUAAAGAAGCACCGGCUAACUACGUG
This 468-nucleotide ribosomal RNA is filed under the name uncultured bacterium. RNAcentral's name for it is "partial 16S ribosomal RNA". It matches the Rfam family "Bacterial small subunit ribosomal RNA", at positions 28 to 507 of the family's 1533-position model. The record is from RNAcentral.